This 180-nucleotide non-coding RNA is filed under the name Methylomarinum roseum. RNAcentral's name for it is "6S RNA". It matches the Rfam family "6S / SsrS RNA". Rfam says of the family: E. coli 6S RNA was the first non coding RNA to be sequenced, but its function was unknown until recently. It consists of 184 nucleotides that fold into an extended hairpin structure with a large single-stranded internal bulge. The record is from RNAcentral. Lineage: Bacteria; Pseudomonadati; Pseudomonadota; Gammaproteobacteria; Methylococcales; Methylococcaceae.
UAUCUCCUGCAGCGUUCGAGCAGUGCUGGGUGUUUCCUGAACCUGCUAUUACCCCGGAAACAGAUGCCUAGUAAUGGUGAGCAUGCCUGUUUACGACGGGAAGCCUGAUUUACUGGCUGAGUUUCCACUUGAACCUCUGGUUCAAGGACGAAAGUACGAGACGGCGCAGGCGGGAGAUAC